This 292-nucleotide ribosomal RNA is filed under the name uncultured bacterium. RNAcentral describes it as "partial 16S ribosomal RNA". It matches the Rfam family "Bacterial small subunit ribosomal RNA", at positions 509 to 800 of the family's 1533-position model. The record is from RNAcentral.
CAGCAGCCGCGGUAAUACGGAGGAUCCGAGCGUUAUCCGGAUUUAUUGGGUUUAAAGGGAGCGUAGGUGGACUGNUAAGUCAGUUGUGAAAGUUUGCGGCUCAACCGUAAAAUUGCAGUUGAUACUGUCAGUCUUGAGUACAGUAGAGGUGGGCGGAAUUCGUGGUGUAGCGGUGAAAUGCUUAGAUAUCACGAAGAACUCCGAUUGCGAAGGCAGCCUGCUAAGCUGCAACUGACAUUGAGGCUCGNAAGUGUGGGUAUCAAACAGGAUUAGAUACCCUGGUAGUCCACAC